Non-coding RNA from Alosa alosa (allis shad), 363 nucleotides. The record is from the annotation of a RefSeq genome assembly. NCBI's taxonomy places the organism in Eukaryota, Metazoa, Chordata, Actinopteri, Clupeiformes, Clupeidae.
AUGUUUCCCACAUCUCCCCUCUUGCUGUUGCUGGUUACUGUGUCAAGUGGUUAUGGUGUGACAUUGAUUGAAUCUGGGCCAGUAGUCAUCAGUGCCGGAGGAUCUCACACCCUGACCUGCACAGCUUCUGGGUUCACAUUCGAAGACUAUCAGAUGGCUUGGAUCAGACAAGCACCUGGGAAAGGGCUGGAAUGGGUGGCACUUCUCUCACAGCCCUCUGGUUCUAGCAAAUACUACUCUCAGACAGUGCAGGGAAGAUUCACCAUCUCCAGAGACAACAGCAAGAGUCAGGUGUAUCUGCAGAUGAACAGCCUGAAGACUGAGGACACAGCUGUGUAUUACUGUGCUCGAAAACCACAGUAG